Molecule: transfer RNA, 74 nt
Filed under: Ulva prolifera
Lineage: Eukaryota; Viridiplantae; Chlorophyta; Ulvophyceae; Ulvales; Ulvaceae
Description: tRNA-Pro
Source: RNAcentral
UCGGGAUGACAGGAUUCGAACCAGCGGCCACCUGUACCCAAAACAGGUGCGCUACCAAACUGCGCUACAUCCCG